Lipotes vexillifer (Yangtze River dolphin) is the source of this 3274-nucleotide non-coding RNA. Lineage: Eukaryota; Metazoa; Chordata; Mammalia; Artiodactyla; Lipotidae. The record is from RefSeq and is a predicted model, not a curated record.
CAGGCCUGGAGCACACACUCCUGAGAGGCAGCAGAGAUCGGGGACUCCAGGUCCCUGAGAUCCCAGUCCGCACAGAAGGCUCAUGGAGCCUGGGGCACGUGGGGCCCUCCUCUCAAGGGCUAGCAGGUUCCCUCUGGACCUGUAGGGCACCACCCCCGUCUAGCCACCAUGGCGCAUGGCUUCCCAGUGGGCUUCGACCCAGUGGGCCUCAGAGACCUAAGCUCGGGCUCUCUGAGCUCCCUCUCCUCCCGAGGCCACCUGGGCAGCGAGUCAGGCUCUGCAACCCGAUACCUGCUGAGAAAGCAACGGCGUCUGCUGAAUGGGCCCCUCCGCGGAAUCCGAGCCUCAUCGCCCAUGGGCCGUGUCAUCCUCAUCAACUCCCCCAUCGAAGCCAACAGCGAUGAAAGUGACAUCAUCCAUGCAGUUCGAGUGGAGAAGAGCCCAGCUGGGAGGCUGGGGUUCAGUGUGCGGGGCGGCUCUGAGCACGGCCUGGGCAUCUUCGUCAGCAAAGUGGAGAAGGGGAGCAGUGCAGAGCGGGCUGGUCUGUGCGUGGGUGAUAAGAUCACUGAGGUGAAUGGGCUGAGCCUGGAGAGCACCACGAUGGGCAGUGCUGUGAAGGUGCUGACGGGCAGCAGCCGCCUGCAUAUGAUGGUGAGGCGCAUGGGCCGCGUACCAGGCAUCAAGUUCUCCAAAGAGAAGACCACAUGGGUGGAUGUGGUCAAUCGGCGGCUGGUGGUGGAAAAGUGCAGCUCAACGCCCUCUGACAGUGGCUCAGAGGACGGCGCACGGCGCAUCGUCCAUCUCUACACAACCUCUGACGACUUCUGCCUGGGCUUCAACAUCCGCGGGGGCAAGGAGUUUGGCCUGGGCAUCUAUGUGUCCAAAGUGGACCAUGGUGGACUGGCCGAGGAGAACGGCAUCAAGGUGGGGGACCAAGUCCUGGCGGCCAAUGGUGUCAGGUUCGACGACAUCAGCCACAGCCAAGCCGUGGAGGUGCUGAAGGGCCAAACACACAUCAUGUUGACCAUCAAGGAGACCGGCCGGUACCCUGCCUACAAGGAGAUGGUUUCUGAAUACUGUUGGCUGGAUCGAUUGAGCAACGGGGUGCUGCAGCAGCUGUCCCCCGCCUCGGAGAGCAGCUCCAGCGCCUCCUCGUUCGCCUCCAGUGCCCCCUACAGCUCGGCCGAUGGCUGGAGCUCCCUGCCCUCGGACCACAUGGAUGUCUGCCUGGGGCCUGAGGAGCCGGGCAGCUGGGGGCCAGGCCGGGGGCGGGCAGACACGGCCAUGCAGACGGAGCCAGACGCGGGGGGCCACGUGGAGACCUGGUGUAGCGUGCGGCCCACAGUCAUCCUCAGGGACACGGCCAUCCGUUCCGACGGCCCCCCGCCUGCCCCCCGCCUUGACUCUGCGCUCUCUGAGUCCCCCAAAACUGCUCUGCUCCUGGCCCUCAGCCAACCCCGGCCCCCCAUCACCCGCUCCCAGAGCCACCUGACCUUGUGGGAGGAGAAGAAACAGCGGAGGAAGGAGAAGUCGGGGUCCCCCGGGGAGAAGGGGGCCCUGCAGCGCUCCAAGACCCUGAUGAACCUCUUCUUCAAGGGAGGGCGGCAGGGGCGGCUGGCAGGGGAUGGGCGCAGAGAGACCUGGACGCUGGACAGUGGGAGCACGGCCAAGUCCCGCCCCCACCCGGACCUGGAGAAAGCAGGGGGAGUGGGAUCCGUGCAGAAGUUUGUCACCUGGAGGCUGAGACGUGACCGGGAGAGGGGCCGGACUCUGCUCUCUGCCAGGUCCAGGAGCCCCUCCAGCCAGCUGCCCAACAUGGAUGAGAGGGUGCAGACCUGGGAGAGCCGAAGGCCCCUGAUUCAGGACCUGGCCCGGAGGCUGCUGACUGACGACGAGGUGCUGGCUGUCACCCGCCACUGUUCCCGGUACGUGCAUGAGGGCGGCGUGGAGGACCUGGUGAGGCCCCUGCUGGCCAUUCUGGACAGGCCUGCGAAGCUGCUGCUGCUGAGGGACAUCAGGGGUGUGGUGGCCCCCACAGACCUGGGUCGCUUCGACAGCAUGGUGAUGCCUGUGGAGCUGGAGGCUUUUGAGGCCCUCAAGAGCCAGGCAGUUUGGCCUCCUGCCUUGCGACCAGCCCGGCAGGACACACCACCCAAGCGUCACCUCAUCACUCCUGUGCCUGACAGUCGUGGAGGCUUCUACCUACUUCCUGUGAACGGCUUCUCAGAGGAGGAAGAUGAUGGGGAGCUGAGGGAGCGUCUGGGGGGCCUCCAGGUCUCCCUGGGUGCCUCUGCCUCCCGCCACCCUCAUAAAGGGAUCCCCCCUCUCCAGGAUGUGCCAGUAGAUGCCUUCAUCUCACGCAGAAGCGCCUGCACACCCCCUCCCCAGCCACCCCCCGUGGCUCCCCGGCCCCCGAGGCCUAACUGGCUGCUGACAGAACCCUUGACCUUAGAGGGCCCUCGGCAGAGCCGGAGCCAGGGCCCAAGCCAGAGCCGCAGCCGCAGCCGGGGCAGAGGCAAGUCCCCCGGACGCAGGCGUUCCCCAUCCCCGACACCUAUCCCCACUCCCAGCACAGCCAGCGGGUGCUACCACAAGCCUCGGAAGGCCAGGCCUCCUCUGCCACGACCUACGGAUGGGCAGGUGGCCAAGGCAGGGGGCAGUCAAGGACCCUCUGAGAACAGAACUGGUGGGACAGCCGAGGAGGCCGCCACGAAAGUCCCCAGUGGGGAGCUGAGGACCGUCACACUAUCCAAGACGAAGCAGUCCUUGGGCAUCAGCAUUUCUGGGGGCAUUGAGUCCAAGGUGCAGCCCAUGGUGAAGAUAGAAAAGAUCUUCCCUGGGGGCGCCGCCUUCCUCAGUGGGGCCCUUCAGGCUGGCUUUGAGCUUGUGGCCGUGGAUGGAGAGAGCCUGGAGCAGGUGACCCACCAGCGGGCAGUAGACACCAUCCGCCGGGCUUAUCGAAACAAGGCUCGGGAGCCCAUGGAGCUUGUGGUCAGGGUCCCCAGGCCCGACCCACUGCCCUUACCCUCUGACUCAUCAGCCCUCACUGAACAGUGGCUUCCUGGUGACCAUUCCCCUGCCCGCUGACCCCUUGAUGGUACUCCAGCUACCUCCCACUGGCUCCCAGAACCUCCCAUCAAUGAAUGCCCUUCCCACCCAUACCCAGACCCCUCCCGCUGAUGCCAGGCUUCUCCAGCUGACCCCCAGCCCAGUGCCCGCUCCAGUCUUCCAGCCUCCUGAUACUAAUCCCGGACUCUCCCCGGCUACCCCAUAA